Molecule: microRNA precursor, 53 nt
Filed under: Bos taurus (domestic cattle)
Lineage: Eukaryota; Metazoa; Chordata; Mammalia; Artiodactyla; Bovidae
Also listed under: 5 other names
Description: mir-1302 microRNA precursor family
Rfam family: mir-1302 microRNA precursor family
Source: Rfam by way of RNAcentral
UUUUUAGCAUAAAUAUAUCCCAUGAAAUAUUUUGGGACAUACUUAUACUAAAU